GAGAGGAGAGAGAGUUGGGGGGGGGGAAUACAGAAGAGGAGGAGGAGGAGGAGAAAAAGGCAUCUCUCUCUCUACUGCCUCCCCCCUCGCCGCUUUCCCAGUUUUCUGA
Molecule: non-coding RNA, 109 nt
Organism: Podarcis lilfordi (Lilford's wall lizard)
Lineage: Eukaryota; Metazoa; Chordata; Lepidosauria; Squamata; Lacertidae
Source: the annotation of a GenBank genome assembly